UGACCUGACCACCGUGGCACGCAACGCCCUGGUGUCCUCUUUCCCUACCAAAUUUUACCACACCCUAGGGAGUGAAGCAAAGAAAUUUCACUGGCCGCCAAAUAUCAUGCCGCGUGAUUCAAAAAUUUUCACCAACCUGUAUUUAUCCGAACAACAUCUCUCAUUCUCAGCCAUUCACUCUCUUGCCCCCUCUCUCUUAUCUCUAUCUGCUCCACCGAGCUUGCACAGCGGCGGUACUCUGGAUGGAGUGAUGCGCUGGAUCCCCGUGGAGCAAGCAGUAGCUACGGCGAGCAGCGGUGAAUCCCGGGGAGUGAGCUGCUGUGCUGCACGCGGCGGCCGUGCAUCCUGGCGGCGACGGCGAGCUCAAGCGGCUACCGCAUGCCCGAUUCAAGGCGGAGCGGAGCAACAACUGCAGCUCCGAUGGGCGAGCGGCGCGGCAGCCUAAUUCCUAAGAGGAGAAAAUGGAGAAGAACUGCAGUAUUGGCGAGCUGCAGCAUGGUGCGUGCAAGUUGAGAGGUUGCAGUAUACCCAAAGGCAGAGCAUCCGGCGAACCGAGCGGCGCUAGGUGGAGCGUAGCGGCAACUGCAGAUCCAGCAAGCAGAGUGACUGCGGCUACAGGAAGCGGAGUGGCAGUCUCUAUUUCCAUGGCUAGCGAGGGUGAAGCUCAGGCAGGAAGAAGCUGCUCUUUUUUUUCUCUUUUCUUUUUGCCUUUUGAUGAUAGUACCAAAUGAAUGUUGCUUGUAAUUUCAAUCCAGAUAAAUAAACUUUUAAUGUAAUGUUUAUACAAAUGAAGUUGUUUAAUAUCAAUCCAAUGAAUCCUUUUAUCAA
Panicum virgatum (switchgrass) is the source of this 828-nucleotide long non-coding RNA. RefSeq lists it as uncharacterized. The record is from RefSeq and is a predicted model, not a curated record. Lineage: Eukaryota; Viridiplantae; Streptophyta; Magnoliopsida; Poales; Poaceae. The transcript has 2 exons.